UAGAUGAAGUUCGUAUUCAAAUUUAGAUCUGUCAGAUGUAUGAUACGUAGUUAUUUAUAAAUAUUUGAUAAAAAUUUAAUAAAAAAAAUAUAAUAUUUUAUGAAACCUGCGGCACUUAAAGGAAGAGAGAGACGAGAAGUGGAUCGAGAGCUAUUUGGAGGGACCCAUGGAAUUAAAUGAAGCAAGGGAGAAAGUCUUCACGGGGCUGGUGCAUGAGCUUGAAAGGAGGGGUUUGUUGGCAGGCUAACAGUGGUUCAAAUGCACAUGUGGCGCAUGGCUAAUAGUGGAGGGACACUGUGGCUUUGGUUCGGUCUUCACAGC
RNAcentral lists this long non-coding RNA (321 nucleotides) under Elaeis guineensis (African oil palm). RNAcentral's name for it is "long non-coding RNA (EGUI_LNC076204)". The record is from RNAcentral. Lineage: Eukaryota; Viridiplantae; Streptophyta; Magnoliopsida; Arecales; Arecaceae.